RNAcentral lists this transfer RNA (74 nucleotides) under Pholisma arenarium (desert christmas tree). RNAcentral describes it as "tRNA-Met". It matches the Rfam family "tRNA". From Rfam's summary of the family: Transfer RNA (tRNA) molecules are approximately 80 nucleotides in length. Their secondary structure includes four short double-helical elements and three loops (D, anti-codon, and T loops). Further hydrogen bonds mediate the characteristic L-shaped molecular structure. tRNAs have two regions of fundamental functional importance: the anti-codon, which is responsible for specific mRNA codon recognition, and the 3' end, to which the tRNAs corresponding amino acid is attached (by aminoacyl-tRNA synthetases). tRNAs cope with the degeneracy of the genetic code in two manners: having more than one tRNA (with a specific anti-codon) for a particular amino acid; and 'wobble' base-pairing, i.e. permitting non-standard base-pairing at the 3rd anti-codon position. Lineage: Eukaryota; Viridiplantae; Streptophyta; Magnoliopsida; Boraginales; Lennoaceae. The record is from RNAcentral.
CGCGGGGUAGAGCAGUUUGGUAGCUCGCAAGGCUCAUAACCUUGAGGUCACGGGUUCAAAUCCUGUCUCCGCUU